UUCACCACAGAGAGAAAAAGGCCUGCCUCACAGCUUACAUUAACCGUAAAGAUUAGAGUCAUGCAUACAAUGUGCUGCGUCACUAAAGUAUUUCUCUCGGCAUCCCAGCUGUUUCUCCUCGCUUAAAUCUGGCGGUUACUUCGCCUAAAAAUAUCCCCCCUCUCUCCGUCUUUUCUCAGAACCCUGCCCUCAUACACAACAAGUUCUUAUCUUCAGGGACCAUGACUGCAGAGGGGUGUUACUGCUGAAGAAUAAGAGUAAACGUCGGGUGUAACCCACCACUACAAGUACAGAAUUCUAUGGAUCAAGAUCUGUCUGUUGUUAGCUAAAGACACAGUGGUUUUAGUUCAGAUUAACCUGCCUUUUUCGGGACUAAUUUAAAGGAGGACUUCUUAUAAAUGUGUGAGGCAGCACUACGUGGCUCAGUGAAACACCGCUACGAACGGAAGCAGACGAUCACUAAACAGCGGAGAAAAACAGAAGCCAAAAGAACCCUGAGGAAGAAGUCUUCCAA
Molecule: long non-coding RNA, 514 nt
Organism: Gymnodraco acuticeps
Lineage: Eukaryota; Metazoa; Chordata; Actinopteri; Perciformes; Bathydraconidae
Exons: 3
Source: RefSeq, a predicted model, not a curated record